AAGUUUUGUAUUUUAUCAUAAAAGGUUACUUUACAAAUGUACACAUAUCGAUCUAUGAAGUGGUGCUAGCGUUAAUCCUUUUUUUUUACAACCUUCGUUUGGAACAAAAUUUCGCACAAGGAAGUUUCUCAGAAAAUAUCAGAUGCUGUCUCAUAUGAAGCAAUGGAUCAAUGUUUCCAGACCAAGUCUCCGCCAAAUUCAUUCAAACUGUGUCCUGUUCGGUGAAAAAUAUGAA
Molecule: long non-coding RNA, 235 nt
Organism: Planococcus citri (citrus mealybug)
Lineage: Eukaryota; Metazoa; Arthropoda; Insecta; Hemiptera; Pseudococcidae
Exons: 2
Source: RefSeq, a predicted model, not a curated record